Long non-coding RNA from Brassica napus (rape), 1346 nucleotides. RefSeq lists it as uncharacterized. The transcript is spliced from 4 exons. The record is from RefSeq and is a predicted model, not a curated record. Lineage: Eukaryota; Viridiplantae; Streptophyta; Magnoliopsida; Brassicales; Brassicaceae.
AACUUGAAUAGUUUCUCAUAUCUUCAUGUUCGUCUUUAUUUCAAGAAUUCGGGUGUUUUGCAUUACUUAGUCACUGAGAAACUGAUUUGUUCAACUGUUAAAUCUUUUUUUCUUUGUCUAUGCUCAAGUUUUCACAUGUUCAAACCUGAUUCUUAAUCUUGAUUUGAUUUAUUUCCGAGUUUGACUGAAUAGUUCAUAAUCUUGGUUUCAUUCCACGGAUUCAGAUCUUAUGUAGUUUUAAAUCUGACAGUCUUCUUCCUCUUACAGCUGUACUUACAGCUGAGUUUCUCUUCAUGCGAACCCUUAACCACUCCUCUGCAAAUGGCUGCCUCCGAUGGAAUUUUCGCUGAACUUGCUGCGCAGCACACAACCUUUUGACGAUCUUGGCCUUGGUCGGGCCUCUCAGUUUUGUCGUUGUGUAUGUGUCACUAUGGGACGCCUCUUUCGCAACUUUUAGGGGGCAUCUGAGCUUAUGCGAUAUUACACACUCUGUCAUGCUGGACACCACGGUUAGUUCCAAGUUAUAUUUUGACUUGAACGUUUACGCCAGCCAAGCUUUCAUCAACAGGUGCUGCUGCUGACGAUUUCUUGCAUGUCGAGACAAUGGGAGAGAUUCAAUAGCAAGAACUUGUGUCAAUUGGGGAUCUCUACACGAACCUUUCCAUGUCCACCGACAAGACCUAUGAAGCUGAAGAAACUCACUAAGAAAGAUGCAGCAUCUGGCCCUAGAGGCGAUCCGUCUCCGCUCACAGUCAACUCAAUCUUAAUUACGUUUCCAUAAGCAUUAUCGAUACUGUGUCAUUAACAAAAAAAACGUAUGAUAGACUAAUUGGCGUUGGAGUGUCAGAGCUCCCUAAAUGCUUCGAAGAGCUUGCUGACCAAUGCCUCUUUCAGAUUCGAGUGACACCCUACAAUUUCACUCUCCACUACCGGACCGUCACAGUGUCUACUAAAGAUGUGGAUGUGAAGACUCAUUCAGGGAUAAACUAAGUUUUGUUGAGAUACCAACCUGGAUGGAGGUGAUCUAGAAAAAACUCCAUAUUCAUAUCAGGAUGAAAGUAACAACAGAGCUCCAAAAGUGGUAAGCCAAAGUGAGCAACCACCUGUUUCUGCAAGCGAUCCGGUAGAUGCGGCUACAAAAGUGACGGCAGUGGAUCAACCAACACCACCUAGCUCUGGAUGCGAAGAGAAGAGUUACAAACGCUACCGUGAGUGAAAAUUGGAAGUGUAGUAAGAGGAAUUGUGGGAACCGAAAUUCGCACUGUCGAUUUCCGUUUAAAUAAGGAAGCUAGGAAAACCCUAAUUUCCCAGAGGUCCCGGAUAUCUGCUAAUACCACACGCCAAGC